Molecule: ribosomal RNA, 496 nt
Filed under: uncultured bacterium
Lineage: Bacteria
Description: partial 16S ribosomal RNA
Rfam family: Bacterial small subunit ribosomal RNA
Source: RNAcentral
GAUGAACGCUGGCGGCGUGCCUAAUACAUGCAAGUCGAGCGAACAGACGAGGAGCUUGCUCCUCUGACGUUAGCGGCGGACGGGUGAGUAACACGUGGAUAACCUACCUAUAAGACUGGAUUACUUCGGGAAACCGGAGCUAAUACCGGAUAAUAUAUUUAACCGGAUGGUUCCAUAGUGAAAGACGGGUUUGCUGUCACUUAUAGGUGGAUCCGCGCCGCAUUAGCUAGUUGGUAAGGUAACGGCUUACCAAGGCAACGAUGCGUAGCCGACCUGAGAGGGUGAUCGGCCACACUGGAACUGAGACACGGUCCAGACUCCUACGGGAGGCAGCAGUAGGGAAUCUUCCGCAAUGGGCGAAAGCCUGACGGAGCAACGCCGCGUGAGUGAUGAAGGUCUUCGGAUCGUAAAACUCUGUUAUUAGGGAAGAACAAAUGUGUAAGUAACUAUGCACGUCUUGACGGUACCUAAUCAGAAAGCCACGGCUAACUACGUG